This 258-nucleotide long non-coding RNA is filed under the name Olea europaea (common olive). RNAcentral's name for it is "long non-coding RNA (OEUR_LNC009796)". Lineage: Eukaryota; Viridiplantae; Streptophyta; Magnoliopsida; Lamiales; Oleaceae. The record is from RNAcentral.
CCUCCACCCUUGGUGAUGUAAUAAAUAGCCACAGUAGAGUCUUGAAUUCUGGAGCUUGAGAGGCAUUAUGGAACUUAUUGAAGCUUAGCUCGAUCAUACAUAGAACUAAAAUUUAUAGCUCAAGUCUUGAUCGCAUUCCUUGCCCAUAUGAUCCUGGACUAGUUAGAACUUUGAAGUUAUGCAAUAGAGCAAUUACAUUUCUUCUUGCUUUUCAUUAACUACUCUCUCUUCCAACAAUCAUUAUAAUCUCAAACAUCA